GACGAACGCUGGCGGCGUGCUUAACACAUGCAAGUCGAACGGAAAGGCCUGCUUUCCCUGGUGGAUUGCGGGUACUCGAGUGGCUAACGGGUGAGUAACACGUGAGUGAUCUGCCGCCAACUUGGGUAUAAGCCGGGGAAACUGGGUCUAAUUCCCGAUAGGACUGGAGGGUGGUGCCUGUGGUGGAAAACGAUGUUCGAGUGGGUGGGGUUGAGCUCGCGGCCUUUCGGCUUGUUGGUGGGGUAAUGGUCUACCAAGGCGGCGACGGGGAGGCGGCCUGGGGGGGUGGGCCGCCGCAGUGGGACUGAGAUACGGGCCCGGCUACUCCGGGCGGACGCCGUGGGGAGUCAUGAGUGGUGGGCGGUGGCCUGAUGCCGCGACGCUGAGUGGGGGAUGCCGGGCUUCGGGUUGUAACCUCCUUUCGGCCGCGAGGAAGCCGCCUGGUUGGAAGGAUGGUGACGGUAGUGGUAGAAGAAGCACCGGCUAACUACGUG
Molecule: ribosomal RNA, 494 nt
Filed under: uncultured bacterium
Lineage: Bacteria
Description: partial 16S ribosomal RNA
Rfam family: Bacterial small subunit ribosomal RNA
Source: RNAcentral